This 497-nucleotide ribosomal RNA is filed under the name uncultured bacterium. RNAcentral describes it as "partial 16S ribosomal RNA". It matches the Rfam family "Bacterial small subunit ribosomal RNA", at positions 28 to 507 of the family's 1533-position model. The record is from RNAcentral.
GAUGAACGCUGGCGGCGUGCCUAAUACAUGCAAGUCGAGCGGACGGACGAGACGCUUGCUUCUCUGCUGUUAGCGGCGGACGGGUGAGUAACACGUGGCUAACCUACCUAUAAGACUGGGAUAACUUCGGGAACCCGGAGCUCAUACCGGAUAAUAUUUUGAACCGCAUGGUUCAACAGUGAAAGACGGUCUUGCUGUCACUUAUAGAUGGAUCCGCGCUGCAUUAGCUAGUUGGUAAGGUAACGGCCUACCAAGGCGACGAUGCAUAGCCGACCUGAGAGGGUGAUCGGCCACACUGGAACUGAGACACGGUCCAGACUCCUACGGGAGGCAGCAGUAGGGAAUCUUCCGCAAUGGGCGAAAGCCUGACGGAGCAACGCCGCGUGAGUGAUGAAGGUCUUCGGAUCGUAAAACUCUGUUAUUUGGGAAGAACAUAUGUGUAUGUAACUGUGCACAUCUUGACGUUACCUAAUCAGAAAGCCACGGCUAACUACGUG